This 3007-nucleotide ribosomal RNA is filed under the name Salmonella enterica subsp. enterica. Its description in RNAcentral is "23S ribosomal RNA". It matches the Rfam family "Bacterial large subunit ribosomal RNA". Lineage: Bacteria; Pseudomonadati; Pseudomonadota; Gammaproteobacteria; Enterobacterales; Enterobacteriaceae. The record is from RNAcentral.
GGUUAAGCGACUAAGCGUACACGGUGGAUGCCCUGGCAGUCAGAGGCGAUGAAGGGCGUGCUAAUCUGCGAUAAGCGCCGGUAAGGUGAUAUGAACCGUUAUAACCGGCGAUACCCGAAUGGGGAAACCCAGUGUGAUUCGUCACACUAUCAUUAACUGAAUCCAUAGGUUAAUGAGGCGAACCGGGGGAACUGAAACAUCUAAGUACCCCGAGGAAAAGAAAUCAACCGAGAUUCCCCCAGUAGCGGCGAGCGAACGGGGAGGAGCCCAGAGCCUGAAUCAGCAUGUGUGUUAGUGGAAGCGUCUGGAAAGGCGCGCGAUACAGGGUGACAGCCCCGUACACAAAAGCGCAUGUGCUGUGAGCUCGAUGAGUAGGGCGGGACACGUGGUAUCCUGUCUGAAUAUGGGGGGACCAUCCUCCAAGGCUAAAUACUCCUGACUGACCGAUAGUGAACCAGUACCGUGAGGGAAAGGCGAAAAGAACCCCGGCGAGGGGAGUGAAAAAGAACCUGAAACCGUGUACGUACAAGCAGUGGGAGCCCCACCACUAAGCCAGUGGUGAACUCCACAUACGCAUCCUUUGCUGAGGAUACGGUUAACGGAGCGAAAGCGACGUUCAACCUCAAAAGAAGCAGAGGGGGCUUAGUGGUGGGGUGACUGCGUACCUUUUGUAUAAUGGGUCAGCGACUUAUAUUCUGUAGCAAGGUUAACCGAAUAGGGGAGCCGUAGGGAAACCGAGUCUUAAUUGGGCGUUAAGUUGCAGGGUAUAGACCCGAAACCCGGUGAUCUAGCCAUGGGCAGGUUGAAGGUUGGGUAACACUAACUGGAGGACCGAACCGACUAAUGUUGAAAAAUUAGCGGAUGACCUGUGGCUGGGGGUGAAAGGCCAAUCAAACCGGGAGAUAGCUGGUUCUCCCCGAAAGCUAUUUAGGUAGCGCCUCGUGAAUUCAUCUCCGGGGGUAGAGCACUGUUUCGGCUAGGGGGCCAUCCCGGCUUACCAACCCGAUGCAAACUGCGAAUACCGGAGAAUGUUAUCACGGGAGACACACGGCGGGUGCUAACGUCCGUCGUGAAGAGGGAAACAACCCAGACCGCCAGCUAAGGUCCCAAAGUCAUGGUUAAGUGGGAAACGAUGUGGGAAGGCCCAGACAGCCAGGAUGUUGGCUUAGAAGCAGCCAUCAUUUAAAGAAAGCGUAAUAGCUCACUGGUCGAGUCGGCCUGCGCGGAAGAUGUAACGGGGCUAAACCAUGCACCGAAGCUGCGGCAGCGACGCUGAUGCGUUGUUGGGUAGGGGAGCGUUCUGUAAGCCUGUGAAGGUGGCCUGUGAGGGUUGCUGGAGGUAUCAGAAGUGCGAAUGCUGACAUAAGUAACGAUAAAGCGGGUGAAAAGCCCGCUCGCCGGAAGACCAAGGGUUCCUGUCCAACGUUAAUCGGGGCAGGGUGAGUCGACCCCUAAGGCGAGGCCGAAAGGCGUAGUCGAUGGGAAACGGGUUAAUAUUCCCGUACUUGGUGUUACUGCGAAGGGGGGACGGAGAAGGCUAUGUUGGCCGGGCGACGGUUGUCCCGGUUUAAGCGUGUAGGUGUGUGUUCCAGGUAAAUCCGGUUCACUUUAACACUGAGGCGUGACGACGAGGCACUACGGUGCUGAAGCAACAAAUGCCCUGCUUCCAGGAAAAGCCUCUAAGCAUCAGGUAACAUCAAAUCGUACCCCAAACCGACACAGGUGGUCAGGUAGAGAAUACCAAGGCGCUUGAGAGAACUCGGGUGAAGGAACUAGGCAAAAUGGUGCCGUAACUUCGGGAGAAGGCACGCUGACAUGUAGGUGAAGUGAUUUACUCACGGAGCUGAAGUCAGUCGAAGAUACCAGCUGGCUGCAACUGUUUAUUAAAAACACAGCACUGUGCAAACACGAAAGUGGACGUAUACGGUGUGACGCCUGCCCGGUGCCGGAAGGUUAAUUGAUGGGGUCAGCGCAAGCGAAGCUCCUGAUCGAAGCCCCGGUAAACGGCGGCCGUAACUAUAACGGUCCUAAGGUAGCGAAAUUCCUUGUCGGGUAAGUUCCGACCUGCACGAAUGGCGUAAUGAUGGCCAGGCUGUCUCCACCCGAGACUCAGUGAAAUUGAACUCGCUGUGAAGAUGCAGUGUACCCGCGGCAAGACGGAAAGACCCCGUGAACCUUUACUAUAGCUUGACACUGAACAUUGAGCCUUGAUGUGUAGGAUAGGUGGGAGGCUUUGAAGUGUGGACGCCAGUCUGCAUGGAGCCGACCUUGAAAUACCACCCUUUAAUGUUUGAUGUUCUAACGUGGACCCGUAAUCCGGGUUGCGGACAGUGUCUGGUGGGUAGUUUGACUGGGGCGGUCUCCUCCUAAAGAGUAACGGAGGAGCACGAAGGUUGGCUAAUCCUGGUCGGACAUCAGGAGGUUAGUGCAAUGGCAUAAGCCAGCUUGACUGCGAGCGUGACGGCGCGAGCAGGUGCGAAAGCAGGUCAUAGUGAUCCGGUGGUUCUGAAUGGAAGGGCCAUCGCUCAACGGAUAAAAGGUACUCCGGGGAUAACAGGCUGAUACCGCCCAAGAGUUCAUAUCGACGGCGGUGUUUGGCACCUCGAUGUCGGCUCAUCACAUCCUGGGGCUGAAGUAGGUCCCAAGGGUAUGGCUGUUCGCCAUUUAAAGUGGUACGCGAGCUGGGUUUAGAACGUCGUGAGACAGUUCGGUCCCUAUCUGCCGUGGGCGCUGGAGAACUGAGGGGGGCUGCUCCUAGUACGAGAGGACCGGAGUGGACGCAUCACUGGUGUUCGGGUUGUCAUGCCAAUGGCACUGCCCGGUAGCUAAAUGCGGAAGAGAUAAGUGCUGAAAGCAUCUAAGCACGAAACUUGCCCCGAGAUGAGUUCUCCCUGAGACUUAGAGUCUCCUGAAGGAACGUUGAAGACGACGACGUUGAUAGGCCGGGUGUGUAAGCGCAGCGAUGCGUUGAGCUAACCGGUACUAAUGAACCGUGAGGCUUAACCUU